Molecule: long non-coding RNA, 294 nt
Filed under: Cairina moschata (Muscovy duck)
Lineage: Eukaryota; Metazoa; Chordata; Aves; Anseriformes; Anatidae
Description: domestica (muscovy Duck (domestic type)) lncRNA (ENSCMMG00000011443.1)
Source: RNAcentral
GCAAUACCUUGAAGAUGUGGGACUCCUAGGAAGAUGCAACACCUGGAUCUGGGCGCAGUUCUGGAAGGAGGAGUUGCUGGUCCAUAACACAAUGACAGACAGCUCAGUGAUAAACUCGGAAGAAACCUGUAUCUUCUAUGGAAGCAUGGUGCUGCCUGUGCUUUGCAGAACUUAAGAAUAACAGAGAAUUGAUAGAUUAACUAUUUCAGUGCAGCAAUAUGAGUGAUAACGAAAUGGCACUGACCCCGUCUCCUGAAUUAGAAGGACCAUUCUUAGGAGAAGAAGCAGUCAUUU